CAAUUUGACACAAAAAAGAAAACUUCGUUCCCAAUAGCAUUAAAGUUGUGUUUGAAAAAAAUGUUGCCCAUCCAAUUUCCGAAGAAUUGCUUGGCCAUGUUUUUAGACUUAGUUAGAACACAGAAACUCACAUUUAGAAAGUUUAUUGUUUAAAAUUAAAUAAUUAGCUUAAAAAAUAUAUCUCAUUUCUAUCUCUUUUUUUUUAACUUAUGAAAUGAACAAUUUUUUGAUACUUUUCCGCAAUUAUGCUGAUGAGUCGAUCCAUCACAUAUGGUUCGGUAUCAAAAAAAUUCCCAUGAAACUUAAUAAAAUACUUCUCUAUUUUUUUGCAAAAUUCCAAAAAAGAUUAUCAUGGUUGAAGCAGUCCCCCUAAUGACAAUGAUUUAAGCCGUGGACUUGGAGGAACUUGGAUGCUUGAAGUAUUGCACCCCAGAGGGGGGAAAUUUUCGAUGUAACGAUUUGGCUACAUAUCCAGCAACAUAAAUAAAUCCUUCAUCUUCACAGAUUUUUAGGAAGAUGUAAAUCAAUA
Molecule: long non-coding RNA, 529 nt
Filed under: Lepeophtheirus salmonis (salmon louse)
Lineage: Eukaryota; Metazoa; Arthropoda; Copepoda; Siphonostomatoida; Caligidae
Description: uncharacterized LOC121127202
Source: RNAcentral